UACGUAGGGGGCAAGCGUUAUCCGGAUUUACUGGGUGUAAAGGGGGCGCAGACGGCGAUGCAAGCCAGGAGUGAAAGCCCGGGGCCCAACCCCGGGACUGCUCUUGGAACUGCGUGGCUGGAGUGCAGGAGGGGCAGGCGGAAUUCCUGGUGUAGCGGUGAAAUGCGUAGAUAUCAGGAGGAACACCGGUGGCGAAGGCGGCCUGCUGGACUGCAACUGACGUUGAGGCCGGAAAGCGUGGGGAGCAAACAGG
This 253-nucleotide ribosomal RNA is filed under the name uncultured bacterium. Its description in RNAcentral is "partial 16S ribosomal RNA". It matches the Rfam family "Bacterial small subunit ribosomal RNA", at positions 524 to 776 of the family's 1533-position model. The record is from RNAcentral.